Molecule: ribosomal RNA, 482 nt
Filed under: uncultured bacterium
Lineage: Bacteria
Description: partial 16S ribosomal RNA
Rfam family: Bacterial small subunit ribosomal RNA
Source: RNAcentral
AUUGAACGCUGGCGGCAUGCCUUACACAUGCAAGUCGAACGGUAACAGGUCUUCGGAUGCUGACGAGUGGCGAACGGGUGAGUAAUACAUCGGAACGUGCCCAGACGUGGGGGAUAACGAGGCGAAAGCUUUGCUAAUACCGCAUACGAUCUAAGGAUGAAAGCAGGGGACCGCAAGGCCUUAUGCGUUUGGAGCGGCCGAUGGCAGAUUAGGUAGUUGGUGGGAUAAAAGCUUACCAAGCCGACGAUCUGUAGCUGGUCUGAGAGGACGACCAGCCACACUGGGACUGAGACACGGCCCAGACUCCUACGGGAGGCAGCAGUGGGGAAUUUUGGACAAUGGGCGAAAGCCUGAUCCAGCAAUGCCGCGUGCAGGAUGAAGGCCUUCGGGUUGUAAACUGCUUUUGUACGGAACGAAAAGGCUCUGGCUAAUACCUGGGGCACAUGACGGUACCGUAAGAAUAAGCACCGGCUAACUACGUG